RNAcentral lists this ribosomal RNA (253 nucleotides) under uncultured bacterium. RNAcentral describes it as "partial 16S ribosomal RNA". It matches the Rfam family "Bacterial small subunit ribosomal RNA", at positions 524 to 776 of the family's 1533-position model. The record is from RNAcentral.
UCCGGAGGGUGCGAGCGUUGUCCGGAAUCACUGGGCGUAAAGGGCGCGUAGGUGGCCGAGCAAGGUCGCGGUGAAAGCCCGGGGCUCAACCCCGGGUCGGCCGUGGCAACUACUGGGCUGGAGCACUGUAGGGGCGGGUGGAAUUCCGGGUGUAGCGGUGGAAUGCGUAGAGAUCCGGAAGAACACCGGUGGCGAAGGCGGCCCGCUGGGCAGUUGCUGACACUGAGGCGCGACAGCGUGGGGAGCAAACAGG